CCCUAAACCCUAAACCCUGAACCC
Molecule: non-coding RNA, 24 nt
Filed under: Arabidopsis thaliana (thale cress)
Lineage: Eukaryota; Viridiplantae; Streptophyta; Magnoliopsida; Brassicales; Brassicaceae
Source: RNAcentral